CUCAGGAUGAACGCUAGCGAUAGGCCUAACACAUGCAAGUCGAGGGGCAUCACAUGAGGUAGCAAUACCGAUGGUGGCGACCGGCGCACGGGUGAGUAACACGUAUGCAACCUGCCUUCAACAAGGGCAUAACCCGUUGAAAGACGGACUAAUCCCUAUGACACAGGGGUCCCGCAUGGGGAUAUUUGUUAAAGAUUAAUCGGUUGGAGAUGGGCAUGCGUUCCAUUAGCUUGUUGGCGGGGUAACGGCCCACCAAGGCAACGAUGGAUAGGGGAACUGAGAGGUUUAUCCCCCACACUGGUACUGAGACACGGACCAGACUCCUACGGGAGGCAGCAGUGAGGAAUAUUGGUCAAUGGGCGCAAGCCUGAACCAGCCACGUCCGCGUGAAGGAAGACGGCCCUACGGGUUGUAAACUUCUUUGCAAGGGAAUAAAGUUGGCCACGCGUGGCCUUUUGCAUGUACCUUGCGAAUAAGGAUCGGCUAACUCCGUGCCAGCAGCCGC
RNAcentral lists this ribosomal RNA (505 nucleotides) under uncultured bacterium. RNAcentral's name for it is "bacterial SSU rRNA". It matches the Rfam family "Bacterial small subunit ribosomal RNA", at positions 23 to 518 of the family's 1533-position model. The record is from RNAcentral.